Molecule: unclassified non-coding RNA, 275 nt
Filed under: Hevea brasiliensis (rubber tree)
Lineage: Eukaryota; Viridiplantae; Streptophyta; Magnoliopsida; Malpighiales; Euphorbiaceae
Source: RNAcentral
ACGUGUACACAUCUAUAUUUAAUGCUUUCCAAAGAUUGAUUCAAUCUAGAUUUAGGCAGCCAAGUUACAUGCUUGAUGAAAGAGAAAGACCCAUACAGUUAACGCUUGAUGAAAGAAAAGGAAAGGAAAUUUCUUCCAAAACAAAAGAGUAGACGUCCUAUUGUGGGGUGAGUUCUAGAAAAGCCUAGAAAAGUUUGUUGCUUGCACACUAUGCAAUUACCCUGUUUCCCGAAAACAUAAGACCCACACACAUAUGCAAGUACCCUGUUUGGAAA